Long non-coding RNA from Ailuropoda melanoleuca (giant panda), 589 nucleotides. RefSeq lists it as uncharacterized. The record is from RefSeq and is a predicted model, not a curated record. Lineage: Eukaryota; Metazoa; Chordata; Mammalia; Carnivora; Ursidae. The transcript is spliced from 3 exons.
CAAGGGUGCACGCAGCUUCCCUAACCUCACCUGUCUAGCGCAAAGCAUUACUUGGAACCAGAUAAGAACUCGAGGAGCCAAGAAGGAAGACCGAGUCCACCACAGCAGAGACGGAAAACAGAUUAGCGGGGAAGGAGAGGCACGCGGAGGGACAGACACACAGUGCGUGCCACAGGGGACGGCGGGGCGCUGUCCCUUCCAUGCAGCUGGGGUCCAUCCCGCAGAAACUCCAUGAGGGUCAGCGUGGCCCCAGAUGGUAAAGCGCCAGAAUGCGGGAACAUAAAAGACUUAGGAAGUCAACAUCCUCACCACUUCCCUUGCAAAAUCUCCCUAGGAAGUCGCGGGCCACGGACUCAGAGAAUCCUGGUCUGAUGGCUAGGAGGUGGAAGACCUCUUAACUGGGCACCAGGAGACCAGCAACCCAAGGAGAUGCAGCCUCACGAAGGAGGGAUGGUAUGGCUGCUGGCCUUGAGGAGCCAAGAACAGCCGUGGAAAAUCUCAUCUGCUUCCUUUAUCAUGAUGAGCACAGAGCAGUGCACACAAUGGUUGAAUCACCACAGUGCACGUCUGAAACUAAUAUAACACCACA